RNAcentral lists this transfer RNA (63 nucleotides) under Ctenochauliodes punctulatus. RNAcentral's name for it is "tRNA-Ile". The record is from RNAcentral. Lineage: Eukaryota; Metazoa; Arthropoda; Insecta; Megaloptera; Corydalidae. RNAcentral also lists the same sequence under 3 other names.
AGUGAAGUGCCUGAAAAAAGGAUUACCUUGAUAGGGUAAAUAAUGUAUAAUUUACCUUCAUUA